CUUUGACAAUGUUGCACUACUGUACCAUCUAUUCUAGCAGUGCAAUAGUAUUGUCAUAG
MicroRNA precursor from Gadus morhua (Atlantic cod), 59 nucleotides. The record is from Ensembl. NCBI's taxonomy places the organism in Eukaryota, Metazoa, Chordata, Actinopteri, Gadiformes, Gadidae.